RNAcentral lists this long non-coding RNA (207 nucleotides) under Carica papaya (papaya). RNAcentral describes it as "long non-coding RNA (CPAP_LNC013876)". Lineage: Eukaryota; Viridiplantae; Streptophyta; Magnoliopsida; Brassicales; Caricaceae. The record is from RNAcentral.
UAGAUUGAGCCACUAUACUUGUCUCUUCAAGUUCUAGCUUAUCAUGCAUGAUACCAACACCAAUACAACCCAGGAAUGGGAUCAAUUCUAUACAAUUUACUCCAAGACUCCUCUACACCAAUUUCAUGUAAAACCCACAUGUUAAGUCACUAACCAUCCUCCAUCCUUCAGUUAUACAUUGACUAACACAAACUGUUAAAGAUUCAC